Molecule: long non-coding RNA, 973 nt
Organism: Drosophila nasuta
Lineage: Eukaryota; Metazoa; Arthropoda; Insecta; Diptera; Drosophilidae
Exons: 3
Source: RefSeq, a predicted model, not a curated record
AAGGGUGAUGAAAAUUUUAUAUAGAAAAGGAUGUCAUGUAGCAAGACUGACUUUAUUUUAUUAAAAAAAAACAAAAACGAGGGAUUUUCAUAGUAACUAUUAUAAGCUAUUUAUUAUAAAUAGAACAGAAAUUAUGUGUACUAUUUGGAUUCGAUGCUAUUGUAAUUUUUUUUAGAAAAUUAUUAUUUUAAAGCCUGUCUUAAGUUAGGAAAUUGCUAGUUCAGUGAUGAAAAUAAAGCUCAAGACGUUCCUUGUUAAUCGGAAGAGAAUUCUAGUUGUGCUUAGAAAGUCUAACUGAAGAAGUUGCUACAAGUUAAACGGAAGCCGUUGCUACUUCGCUAAACAUAUAACAGAAGAUGUUGCUGCAAUAUAAGAAUACGCAAAUGUUAAGCAGAAAACGAAUUAGCUGUUAAUCUGAGACAGUUGCGAGCUUGUAGCAUAAGGCUUAGACUAGAUGCUCGGCUACGUGUAUGUGCCUGAGCGAGAUGGAGAAAGAAAGCAAAGCAUUUUCAAAAAUUAAAGCAACAACAACGUGCAUGCAUAUUGAUCGAGUAUAAAGAGGAGCAAACGUUAAGCAGAUGAGCAUGCUGCAUAGUUUAUGUCUAUUAGAAGUUGCUACUGUGUUGAAAUAAGUGAAACGUUUCCCGAAGAAAGGGUGAUGGAAAUUUUAUAUAGAAAAGGAUGUCAUGUAGCAAGAAUGACUUUAUAUUAUUAAAAAAAAAAACAAAAACGGGGGAUUCUCAUAGUAACUAUUAUAAGCUAUUUAUUAUAAAUAGAACAGAAAUUAUGUGUACUAUUUGGAUUCGAUGCUAUUGUAAUUUUUUUUUUAGAAAAUUAUUAUUUUAAAGCCUGUCUUAAGUUAGGAAAUUGCUAGUUCAGUGAUAAAAAUAAAGCUCAAGACGUUCCUUGUUAAUCGGAAGAAAAUUCUAGUUGUGCUUAGAAAGUCUAACUGAAGAAGUUGCUACAAGUUAAA